Molecule: long non-coding RNA, 383 nt
Organism: Mus musculus (house mouse)
Lineage: Eukaryota; Metazoa; Chordata; Mammalia; Rodentia; Muridae
Product: predicted gene, 41097
Exons: 3
Source: RefSeq, a predicted model, not a curated record
GUGUGUGUGUGUGUGUGUGUGUGCCCAUGCACUCACCCUGCCACAUGCACUGUCCUGUCCCUGGUUAAAGAGUUAGCUGGGUGAGUGCCCUUGGGCUACUCUUACUAUUGUUCCUAGGCGGCCUGCCCGGCUCUGUCCUCUAUCUCAUCAUUCUUGAUCAACACAUCUCCUUUCCUAGUUUCCAGUUUUGUGGCUACUGAGUGUUCCAGUGCCAAAUAUGAAGAAGAGAACAUCUUUUUGGUGCAGUUCCUGUGAUUUCAUUCUAAAGACAUAUGUCAUCUGGGACAGGCUACACUUCAAAUGCUAGGUGGGCUCUUGUGGCAAUUCUCCAGUGUGACCUUUGUAGAUGACAACAUCCUGCUGCACCAUCAAAGAUUGGACAU